CAGCUGUGUCGCUGAAUCGACAAUGUGGGGCUCCGUCCGCUGCAGUAGGGACCAGUGAUCAACGGCGGAGCUGUUGGUUCACGUCCACGGGAAAUAAUUUCAGCCACCGACCAUUCAUACCCCGCCGAAUCAAAAGCUGGGCUUCAGCUUUGAGACACAGGAUGUACCGUACUCUUUGCCACAAACCGAGUCUUAUCGGUCCCCCCCGCCAGACAUAGUCCUAUCCAAGCCAGACAGAAACGUAUGCGAACCUAACAAGCCAUUGUCAUCCUUCGACUUGGCCAUCGACAACAAGGACUUUGACUAUGGUAACCAAGGAAGGAUCAACGCGGGCUACUAGAGUCUAUAUAAAUCUCACUGUUGUUAGGUUUAAGGAUAUAUGCGUACAUUCAUUAAGAUAGUGGAUACACAUGUUUUCCAAUUGUUAAUUUAUUUAUACUAAGCUAAGUUUUGAUGAAUAAACCUAUUUAAAAAUCA
Long non-coding RNA from Drosophila persimilis, 477 nucleotides. RefSeq lists it as uncharacterized. Lineage: Eukaryota; Metazoa; Arthropoda; Insecta; Diptera; Drosophilidae. The record is from RefSeq and is a predicted model, not a curated record. The transcript has 2 exons.